Lagopus leucura (white-tailed ptarmigan) is the source of this 236-nucleotide long non-coding RNA. RefSeq lists it as uncharacterized. The record is from RefSeq and is a predicted model, not a curated record. The transcript has 3 exons. NCBI's taxonomy places the organism in Eukaryota, Metazoa, Chordata, Aves, Galliformes, Phasianidae.
GGAGAUCCCUGCCUACUUUGGCUCUUCUAAAGCUUACAGAGGAAGUGAACAGCAUCAGUGCCAUCAUAAGUCUUUGAAGCGCUCCUGAAGUAAAUUUGCCUCCAGUCCAGAGGAAAUGAUGCUGUAUUCUGUUAUUUGCACAACUACCAUUUCCAUUAAUCAUCUUUGGUCCUUGGGAUGGAGUGCUCAUCGACAGAAGCUAUCUGUGUUAUUUGGCGCCAGAGUUUUCACUGAUC